This 296-nucleotide long non-coding RNA is filed under the name Elaeis guineensis (African oil palm). RNAcentral describes it as "long non-coding RNA (EGUI_LNC053133)". The record is from RNAcentral. Lineage: Eukaryota; Viridiplantae; Streptophyta; Magnoliopsida; Arecales; Arecaceae.
CUGACCCAUCAGUCCAAAUACUUAAUUAAAAGAAUUAAGUGUUGUCUAGUUGGUCUAGAAUUGUGAAUUAAGACCUAUGACAAUUGCAUAAACUUGUGGGUCAAUGGGUUAGAUGAAUUAGAUUCAUAAUUGGGUUAGACCUAAGGUUAGCUUAAAGCAAUGGAUUAAAUUAGAGUAAUUGGUCAAAUCUAAUCAAAAGUUAAAUUAGAUUAGGUCAAGGAUACUCUAGACUCAACUCCAAUAGUUAUAGUUGAAUGGGUCCAUGUCUUUAACUAGACCAAGAUGGACUUAAUUCA